RNAcentral lists this long non-coding RNA (1436 nucleotides) under Salmo salar (Atlantic salmon). Its description in RNAcentral is "lncRNA (ENSSSAG00000081943.1)". The record is from RNAcentral. Lineage: Eukaryota; Metazoa; Chordata; Actinopteri; Salmoniformes; Salmonidae.
CAGCAGUAUACUGUAGGUAGGGGUAAAGGAUAGAUAAUAGACAGUAACAGCAGUAUACUGUAGGUAGGGGUAAAGGAUAGAUAAUAGACAGUAACAGCAGUAUACUGUAGGUAGGGGUAAAGGAUAGGUAAUAGACAGUAACAGCAGUAUACUGUCGGUAGGGGUAAAGGAUAGAUAAUAGACAGUAACAGCAGUAUACUGUAGGUAGGGGUAAAGGAUAGGUAAUAGACAGUAACAGCAGUAUACUGUAGGUAGGGGUAAAGGAUAGAUAAUAGACAGUAACAGCAGUAUACUGUAGGUAGGGGUAAAGGAUAGAUAAUAGACAGUAACAGCAGUAUACUGUAGGUAGGGGUAAAGGAUAGAUAAUAGACAGUAACAGCAGUAUACUGUAGGUAGGGGUAAAGGAUAGGUAAUAGACAGUAACAGCAGUAUACUGUAGGUAGGGGUAAAGGAUAGAUAAUAGACAGUAACAGCAGUAUACUGUAGGUAGGGGCAAAGGAUAGAUAAUAGACAGUAACAGCAGUAUACUGUAGGUAGGGGUAAAGGAUAGAUAAUAGACAGUAACAGCAGUAUACUGUAGGUAGGGGUAAAGGAUAGAUAAUAGACAGUAACAGCAGUAUACUGUAGGUAGGGGUAAAGGAUAGAUAAUAGACAGUAACAGCAGUAUACUGUAGGUAGGGGUAAAGGAUAGAUAAUAGACAGUAACAGCAGUAUACUGUAGGUAGGGGUAAAGGAUAGAUAAUAGACAGUAACAGCAGUAUACUGUAGGUAGGGGUAAAGGAUAGAUAAUAGACAGUAACAGCAGUAUAUGUGAUGAGUCAAAAGAGUUGAGAGUGCAAAAAGGGUCAAUGCAGAUAGUCCAGGUAGCUAUUUAGUUAGCUAUUUAACUAACUAUUUAUCAGUCUUAUAGCUUGGGGCUAGAAGCUGUUCAGGGUCCUGUUGGUUCCGGACUUUGAGAGGAGCAGGGGCCAGUGUGUGUUUAGCAGAGAGAGAGAACGCCAAGCCGACUCACGUCAGUUAGACAAACUUGUUGCUGCCAUAGGUUAUCCAUCAUAUCAUCUGGUAGUGCCUAUCAUGACUGCAUUAACUUGUUAGCUAGCUAAGAGUAGCCAGCUAAUUUAGCCGGCUAGCUAGCUAGCUACAGUAAAGCAAAACAUGUUUCUGCUCUCCCUGUCCAAUGUCUACAUUCAUAUGAAACAACAGCCCAACAGCCUCAUUGUAGCCUAUUCCUUCUCAUUUAGCCAACUUCAUUCCAUAAUUUGUGUGUGUGCAUGUAUGUGUGUGUGAUGGAACUGACAGCUCAUGCUGAGGGAGACAGAGUAGUAGUCUGUGUGUGUGUGUGUGUGUGUGUGUGUGAGAGAGAGAGAGAGAAAGAGAUGGGACUGACAGCUGAGGGAGACAGAGUAGUAGUCUGUGUGUGUGUGUGUGUGUGUGUG